This is a long non-coding RNA of Papaver somniferum (opium poppy), 1345 nucleotides long. RefSeq lists it as uncharacterized. The transcript has 9 exons. NCBI's taxonomy places the organism in Eukaryota, Viridiplantae, Streptophyta, Magnoliopsida, Ranunculales, Papaveraceae. The record is from RefSeq and is a predicted model, not a curated record.
GCCCCGGACUAUACUAGGUAUCUAACGCAAAAUUUCCUUCGAACUUCACUCUUUUACACAACCUGAAAUCUGAAACCCAAAUUCCAUCCUCAUUUCUUCAAAAUCCGUAAAAUCUACUGAUUUCCUCUUCCAAAAUCAACCCAAAAUAUUCCGGAGGAUCAGAUUACUGAUGCAUUUUGAUGUUAUUGAAGCCGUGAUUAAGCCGAUGAUCCAUAAGAUGAAGCAGCUUUAAGAGAGGAUGAGAACCCUACAAAGACAUACUUACAAACUGGCAAAUGGAGGUCCAUCAUAUUCUGCAAACGCUGGAGCAGGUGAUGUUGACAUGGCUUAUAGGGUUGUGGCUUCCCAUAUAAGGUUGCUGAUCCAAGCUUCAAAAGUAAUUUCCAUUAAAAUCCAUCAAGGUCCAUCGCUUUCUUGUCUAGUACCUACUAGCUCAUUGUGGGAAAGAUGGCUAUUCCAGGAAAUGCAACGUACGAUGUGGAUUUUUCUUCUCCACUUACCACCAAUAUAAUGGUAAUGUCAAAUUAACACUGCGAGUGAAUUGAACUCCAGUUCCACAUCACCCAAAAAACUCACUCUAACUUCACUCUUUUACGCAACCCGAAAACCCAAUUUCCUUCCCCAUUUCUUCAAUCCCUACAAUCUACUAUUUCCUCUUCCAAAAUUAACCAGGAAUCUCCCAUCGUUAUAGUAUUUGUCCAGAGAAUCAGAUUACUGAUACUUAUUGGCUCCGAUAAAGCCGUGAUUGGCCGCCGAAGAGCUGCUGUAGGAGGAUUAGAACCUUAGAUAUGCAUACUUAUAACUGGAAACUGGAGCAGAUGAUGCUGACAUGGCUUAUAGGGUUGUGGCUUACCAUAUAAGGUUGCUGAUCGAAGAUUCAAAAUUAAUUUGAAGUAAAGUCAUCUAGGUCCAUUUGUGCUCAAGCACAAGCUCCUUCUCGUCAAGUACCUACUAGCACAUAGGCGGAAAGAUGGUUAUUCCAGGUCUGUGAGAUUCCAAGAAACUGAUGAAGUAAAGGAGAAGUUUUCAGAUCCAAAGUCCAUUUCGUCAAUCCAAUUGGGUAUCAGAACUUAGCUGAAUGGAGGAGGCUCUGGUCUCCCUGACAAUUUGUAUGUAUGUGUUUGCUAGGAUUACAUAACUGGGUGCUAGGGAAUCUGACUCUGUUCGUGAAUCUGUUGGAUUGUUGCUGAGAAAAUUUAUUGAGGUUGUCACAACUGGAAAAGUGCAAGAGAUCGUGAUAGAUAGAGCAAGGGACUAGGGAGGCAACUAAUUCUGCAGUUCUGAUGAAUCUGGAAUCAAGAGAGAUAUAGGGUGUCAAAUAUUGACGGAGGGAGGGAGGGAGGGA